Molecule: ribosomal RNA, 465 nt
Filed under: uncultured bacterium
Lineage: Bacteria
Description: partial 16S ribosomal RNA
Rfam family: Bacterial small subunit ribosomal RNA
Source: RNAcentral
GACGAACGCUGGCGGCGUGCUUAACACAUGCAAGUCGAACGGAAAGGCCCUGCUUUUGUGGGGUGCUCGAGUGGCGAACGGGUGAGUAACACGUGAGUAACCUGCCCUUGACUUUGGGAUAACUUCAGGAAACUGGGGCUAAUACCGGAUAGGAGCUCCUGCUGCAUGGUGGGGGUUGGAAAGUUUCGGCGGUUGGGGAUGGACUCGCGGCUUAUCAGCUUGUUGGUGGGGUAGUGGCUUACCAAGGCUUUGACGGGUAGCCGGCCUGAGAGGGUGACCGGCAACAUGGGGACUGAGAUACGGCACAGACUCCUACGGGAGGAAGCAGUGGGGAAUAUUGCAAAAUGGGCGGAAGCCUGAUGCAGCAACGCCGCGGGCGGGAUGACGGCCUUCGGGCUGUAAACCGCUUUCGCCUGUGACGAAGCGUGAGUGACGGUAAUGGGUAAAGAAGCACCGGCUAACUAC